GCCGCCGGGCACGGUGAGACCGUCGGUGAUGGAGUCACCGAGCGUCAUCACACGGACGCCGCCGUUGGACUCGGCGCUGGCCGCGCCA
RNAcentral lists this transfer RNA (88 nucleotides) under Micromonospora parathelypteridis. RNAcentral describes it as "tRNA-Ser". Lineage: Bacteria; Bacillati; Actinomycetota; Actinomycetes; Micromonosporales; Micromonosporaceae. The record is from RNAcentral.